This 496-nucleotide ribosomal RNA is filed under the name uncultured bacterium. Its description in RNAcentral is "partial 16S ribosomal RNA". It matches the Rfam family "Bacterial small subunit ribosomal RNA", at positions 28 to 507 of the family's 1533-position model. The record is from RNAcentral.
GAUGAACGCUGGCGGCGUGCCUAAUACAUGCAAGUCGAGCGAACGGACGAGAAGCUUGCUUCUCUGAUGUUAGCGGCGGACGGGUGAGUAACACGUGGAUAACCUACCUAUAAGACUGGGAUAACUUCGGGAAACCGUAGCUAAUACCGGAUAAUAUUUUGAACCGCAUGGUUCAAAAGUGAAAGACGGUCUUGCUGUCACUUAUAGAUGGAUCCGCGCUGCAUUAGCUAGUUGGUAAGGUAACGGCUUACCAAGGCAACGAUGCAUAGCCGACCUGAGAGGGUGAUCGGCCACACUGGAACUGAGACACGGUCCAGACUCCUACGGGAGGCAGCAGUAGGGAAUCUUCCGCAAUGGGCGAAAGCCUGACGGAGCAACGCCGCGUGAGUGAUGAAGGUCUUCGGAUCGUAAAACUCUGUUAUUAGGGAAGAACAUAUGUGUAGUAACUGUGCACAUCUUGACGGUACCUAAUCAGAAAGCCACGGCUAACUACGUG